UAUUCAGUGUCUUUGUUCAGAAAGAAGGAA
RNAcentral lists this non-coding RNA (30 nucleotides) under Mus musculus (house mouse). Lineage: Eukaryota; Metazoa; Chordata; Mammalia; Rodentia; Muridae. The record is from RNAcentral.